This 544-nucleotide ribosomal RNA is filed under the name Debaryomyces sp. GJ14S02. RNAcentral describes it as "eukaryotic LSU rRNA". It matches the Rfam family "Eukaryotic large subunit ribosomal RNA", at positions 89 to 650 of the family's 3401-position model. Lineage: Eukaryota; Fungi; Ascomycota; Pichiomycetes; Serinales; Debaryomycetaceae. The record is from RNAcentral.
GCGAGUGAGCGGCAAAAGCUCAAAUUUGAAAUCUGGCGCCUUCGGUGUCCGAGUUGUAAUUUGAAGAAGGUAACUUUGGAGUUGGCUCUUGUCUAUGUUCCUUGGAACAGGACGUCACAGAGGGUGAGAAUCCCGUGCGAUGAGAUGCCCAAUUCUAUGUAAAGUGCUUUCGAAGAGUCGAGUUGUUUGGGAAUGCAGCUCUAAGUGGGUGGUAAAUUCCAUCUAAAGCUAAAUAUUGGCGAGAGACCGAUAGCGAACAAGUACAGUGAUGGAAAGAUGAAAAGAACUUUGAAAAGAGAGUGAAAAAGUACGUGAAAUUGUUGAAAGGGAAGGGCUUGAGAUCAGACUUGGUAUUUUGCGUUCCUUUCCUUUUUGGUUGGGUUCCUCGCAGCUUACUGGGCCAGCAUCGGUUUGGAUGGUAGGAUAAUGACAUUGGAAUGUAUCUCUACUUCGGUGGAGUGUUAUAGCCCUUGUUGAUACUGCCUGUCUAGACCGAGGACUGCGUCUUUGACUAGGAUGCUGGCAUAAUGAUCUUAAGCCACCC